GGCCAAACUGACCUUAAGUGUUCUUUCAAUUUGCUUGGCCUCGUGGGAGAAGAAGAUGGGCAGAUAACUAAUUAAUAGAUUUAUUUUGAUGAUGAAAUAUGAUUUUUUUAAUAUAAUAAAUUUCAAUAUUGGUUCAAGUUAGAAUACAUUCAAGCUCGAUAAUUUCAUUGACUAAAGAGAAUGUUGAGAUGGUUUUAGAUGAUGUGAGGUUGAGUUGAAUAGAAUGUAUGCAGUCAUGUACGAGAUUGAGGGCCUCCUCUUUGAAUUGUCCACUUGAGAUCUAGGGAAAGAGUUGUCUUGGAGUUAGGGUGGGCCACCGUCGUCAAGGCGACGUGGAAAAUGAUCGUGAUUUAUUGAAUAGAGGAGAGAAGGGACACAAAGCCGUCUACCUGAGAUCUGGAAAAGAAUUUGAUUUUAGGUAAGGAUAGGCC
This 431-nucleotide long non-coding RNA is filed under the name Elaeis guineensis (African oil palm). RNAcentral describes it as "long non-coding RNA (EGUI_LNC002340)". The record is from RNAcentral. Lineage: Eukaryota; Viridiplantae; Streptophyta; Magnoliopsida; Arecales; Arecaceae.